UAACUCGUGAGUGACCUGCCUUUUAGACUGGAACAACUUACCGAAAGGUGAGCUAAUGCCGGAUGAGUUAUAUAAGUGCAUGUUUAUAUAGGAAAAGUUGGGGAGACCUGACGCUGAAAGAUGGACUCGCGUCCCAUUAGCUAGUUGGUAGGGUAAUGGCCUACCAAGGCGACGAUGGGUAGCCGGCCUGAGAGGGUGGCCGGCCACACUGGGACUGAGACACGGCCCAGACUCCUACGGGAGGCAGCAGUGGGGAAUUUUGCGCAAUGCUCGUAAGAGUGACGCAGCGACGCCGCGUGAAUGACGAAGGCCUUCGGGUCGUAAAGUUCUUUCGACAGGGAAGAAAAUGCCUAUAAGUAACUGUGUAUGUAUUGACGGUACCUGUAUAAGCAGCCCCGGCUAACUCCGUGCCAGCAGCCGCGGUAAUACGGAGGGGGCGAGCGUUGUUCGGAGUGACUGGGCGUAAAGAGCACGUAGGCGGUGUUGUAAGUCAUUAGUCAAAGACUAGAGCUCAACUUUAGUAAGGCUAGUGAUACUAUAAUACUAGAGUAUCAGAGAGGAUUGCAGAAUUCCUGGUGUAGCGGUGAAAUGCGUAGAUAUCAGGAGGAAUACCGUUAGCGAAGGCGGCAAUCUGGCUGGAAACUGACGCUGAGGUGCGAAAGCGUGGGUAGCAAACAGGAUUAGAUACCCUGGUAGUCCACGCUGUAAACGAUGGAUGCUAGGUGU
This 726-nucleotide ribosomal RNA is filed under the name uncultured bacterium. RNAcentral's name for it is "bacterial SSU rRNA". It matches the Rfam family "Bacterial small subunit ribosomal RNA", at positions 111 to 823 of the family's 1533-position model. The record is from RNAcentral.